This 253-nucleotide ribosomal RNA is filed under the name uncultured bacterium. RNAcentral's name for it is "partial 16S ribosomal RNA". It matches the Rfam family "Bacterial small subunit ribosomal RNA", at positions 524 to 776 of the family's 1533-position model. The record is from RNAcentral.
UACAGAGGUCCCAAGCGUUGUUCGGAUUCACUGGGCGUAAAGGGUGCGUAGGUGGCGGGGUAAGUCUGAUGUGAAAUCUCCGAGCUUAACUCGGAAACUGCAUCGGAUACUGCCUUGCUCGAGGGUUGGAGGGGGGACUGGAAUACUUGGUGUAGCAGUGAAAUGCGUAGAUAUCAAGUGGAACACCAGUGGCGAAGGCGAGUCCCUGGACAACUCCUGACACUGAGGCACGAAAGCUAGGGGAGCAAACGGG